AGUAUUUAUUAUGUGAACAAGACUUCGUGAGUGUAGAGAGGCAAAAAUCCUUUCUCCUUUUUCUGGUUUUCAUAUGUUUUUUUGUUCUCUUGCAUGUGCUUUCCGCUUCUUAUUCAAGAUUAUGGAGGCAAUGGGUUUUUUUUAGCAUACUUAUGUUUGGUUGGUUUAUCAUAUGCUAUAUUAUUACAAAAUUUGUACAUAAGGUUAUGGCAAUAGAUUUUUUUAGUUAUUGCUGAUUUAUGUAUGUUUUUUUUCCUUUCCUGAUUUGUUGCUUGAUUGCCUUCGAUUUUCAGAGAUGUCUGGCUUAUUACUUUUUGUUGUUUGAUUCUUCAACAAAGCUUGCCUGCUAAGAUCGUUUUAUAGGUUUAGUUUGGUAUGUUUUUGGAUUGAAGAUGAAGACAAUGAAAAGAUUUUGUGUUUUGUUGGAAGGUCUAAACAACACUAACUACGAAAAAGGUGGUGUUACAUGGGGUGGUUCAUAUAAUAAACAAACCAGUGGUUGUGGGAUAUGGUGAAUGAGUUUGUCUAUCAAUUUCAAUCCUCCUGUUAGUGUGAAUGAAAAACAAAACUAAGGCAAAACAGCAGGUGAACCAUUCAACUAUCUUCUUUCUUGGAUGACUCAUAAAUAUUACAAGAAUAUUUCCUUUUUAUCCAUUUGUAUAGUUUUUUUAAUUUCUAGCCAUACAUAUAUAUAUAUAUACACUAGAUUUAGAUCCCGCGUA
Erigeron canadensis is the source of this 722-nucleotide long non-coding RNA. RefSeq lists it as uncharacterized. The transcript is spliced from 4 exons. Lineage: Eukaryota; Viridiplantae; Streptophyta; Magnoliopsida; Asterales; Asteraceae. The record is from RefSeq and is a predicted model, not a curated record.